Molecule: ribosomal RNA, 420 nt
Filed under: uncultured Glomeromycotina
Lineage: Eukaryota; Fungi; Glomeromycota
Description: SSU rRNA
Rfam family: Eukaryotic small subunit ribosomal RNA
Source: RNAcentral
GUAUGUACUAGCCUGCCGAUUCCUCCUUCUUGUAGAACCGUAAUGCCAUUAAUUUGGUGUUGCGGGGAAACAGGACUGUUACUUUGAAAAAAUUAGAGUGUUUAAAGCAGGCUAGCGCCUGAAUACAUUAGCAUGGAAUAAUGAAAUAGGACGUUCGAACCUAUUUUGUUGGUUUCUAGGAUUGACGUAAUGAUUAAUAGGGAUAGUUGGGGGCAUUAGUAUUCAAUUGUCAGAGGUGAAAUUCUUGGAUUUAUUGAAGACUGACUACUGCGAAAGCAUUUGCCAAGGAUGUUUUCAUUAAUCAAGAACGAAAGUUAGGGGAUCGAAGACGAUCAGAUACCGUCGUAGUCUUAACCAUAAACUAUGCCGACUAGGGAUCGGAUGAUGUUAAUUUUUUAAUGACUCAUUCGGCGCCUUACG